This is a long non-coding RNA of Ictalurus punctatus (channel catfish), 1078 nucleotides long. The record is from Ensembl. Lineage: Eukaryota; Metazoa; Chordata; Actinopteri; Siluriformes; Ictaluridae.
GGGGGUGCUAGUGGGUGGAGACCUGAUUAAGGAUCAAACGAGUUCUGAGUUGCAGAAUAGAUUCUGACUUUUUAAUCCUCACCUACCAGAUUUACUUCUGUGUCCAGAUAAUAUCCAAGGUAAAGGGGAGACAAUCUAUUUUACAUAUGUAGAUCUCGUACUAAAUUGUUUCACAAGUAAAAUCUAAGGUAAAACAGAGGCAAACUGAGUAAACACAAAAUGCAGGUUUUAAGUUAUAGUUAUUUACUGAAGCAAAAAGUUAUCCAAUACCAACUGAGCCUGUGUGAAAAUGUAUUCGCCCCCAUAGUUACUAAAUUCCCCAAUCUAUGAAACUGCAUUCAUAAUGGGGUUCAGCUGGACUAGACACAAGCAGGCCUGAUUACUGCAAACCCUGUUCCAUCACAUCAACACUCAAUAGAACUGUGUGUGUGUGUGUGAUUGAUUACUGGUGCGAGGGUGUGGGUGAGUGUGAGAUUACUGGUGCGAGGGUGUGGGUGAGUGUGAGAUUACUGGUGCGAGGGUGUGGGUGAGUGUGAGAUUACUGGUGCGAGGGUGUGUGUGAGUGAGAUUACUGGUGCGAGGGUGAGAGAUUACUGGUGUGUGUGUGAGAGAUACUGGUGUGAGGGUGAGUGUGAGAGAUUACUGGUGUGAGUGUGAGAGAUUACUGGUGUGAGUGUGAGAGAUUACUGGUGUGAGUGUGUGAGAUUACUGGUGUGAGUGUGAGAGAUUACUGGUGUGAGGGUGAGAGAUUACUACUGGUGGUGAGUGUGAUGAAGAUUACUGGUGUGAGGGUGAGUGUGAGAGAUUACUGGUGUGUGUGUGAGAGAUUACUGGUGUGAGGGUGAGAGAUUACUGGUGUGAGGGUGAGAGAUUACUGGUGUGAGGGUGAGAGAUUACUGGUGUGAGGGUGAGGGUGAGAGAUUACUGGUGUGAGUGUGAGAGAUUACUGGUGUGAGGGUGAGAGAUUACUGGUGUGAGGGUGAGAGAUUACUGGUGUGAUUGUGAGAGAUUACUGGUGUGAGUGUGAGAGAUUACUGGUGUGAGUGUGAGAGAUUACUGGUGUGAGGGUGAGUGUGAG